ACACUCCUACGGGAGGCAGCAGUGGGGAAUAUUGGACAAUGGGCGCAAGCCUGAUCCAGCCAUGCCGCGUGAGUGAUGAAGGCCCUAGGGUUGUAAAGCUCUUUCACCGGUGAAGAUAAUGACGGUAACCGGAGAAGAAGCCCCGGCUAACUUCGUGCCAGCAGCCGCGGUAAUACGAAGGGGGCUAGCGUUGUUCGGAUUUACUGGGCGUAAAGCGCACGUAGGCGGACUAUUAAGUCAGGGGUGAAAUCCCGGGGCUCAACCCCGGAACUGCCUUUGAUACUGGUAGUCUUGAGUUCGAGAGAGGUGAGUGGAAUUCCGAGUGUAGAGGUGAAAUUCGUAGAUAUUCGGAGGAACACCAGUGGCGAAGGCGGCUCACUGGCUCGAUACUGACGCUGAGGUGCGAAAGCGUGGGGAGCAAACAGGAUUAGAUACCCCAGUAGUCCCAUA
RNAcentral lists this ribosomal RNA (450 nucleotides) under uncultured organism. RNAcentral describes it as "partial 16S ribosomal RNA". It matches the Rfam family "Bacterial small subunit ribosomal RNA", at positions 333 to 799 of the family's 1533-position model. The record is from RNAcentral.